CCCUUAGAUGUCCGGGGCUGCACGCGCGCCACACUGAAGGAAUCAGCGUGCUAAAACCAUUGUCGAAAGGCAUUGGUAAACCCAUUAAAAUCCUACGUGAUUGGGAUCGGGAAUUGCAAUUAUUUCCCUUGAACGAGGAAUUCCCAGUAAGUGUGGGUCAUAAGCUCGCGUUGAUUACGUCCCUGCCCUUUGUACACACCGCCCGUCGCUGCCCGGGACUGAGCCGUUUCGAGAAAAGCGGGGACUGCUGCUGUCGGGGCUUUCGGGCCUUGGCUUCAGUGGAAACCGCUUUAAUCGCAGUGGCUUGAACCGGGCAAAANUCGUANCA
Molecule: ribosomal RNA, 328 nt
Filed under: uncultured eukaryote
Lineage: Eukaryota
Description: partial 18S ribosomal RNA
Rfam family: Eukaryotic small subunit ribosomal RNA
Source: RNAcentral